GUCCCUGUAGCUCAGAGGAUAGAGCGGCUGCCUUCUAAGCAGCGGGUCGUUGGUUCGAAUCCAACCAGGGAUGCCA
This 76-nucleotide transfer RNA is filed under the name Dehalococcoidia bacterium. Its description in RNAcentral is "tRNA-Arg". It matches the Rfam family "tRNA". From Rfam's summary of the family: Transfer RNA (tRNA) molecules are approximately 80 nucleotides in length. Their secondary structure includes four short double-helical elements and three loops (D, anti-codon, and T loops). Further hydrogen bonds mediate the characteristic L-shaped molecular structure. tRNAs have two regions of fundamental functional importance: the anti-codon, which is responsible for specific mRNA codon recognition, and the 3' end, to which the tRNAs corresponding amino acid is attached (by aminoacyl-tRNA synthetases). tRNAs cope with the degeneracy of the genetic code in two manners: having more than one tRNA (with a specific anti-codon) for a particular amino acid; and 'wobble' base-pairing, i.e. permitting non-standard base-pairing at the 3rd anti-codon position. Lineage: Bacteria; Bacillati; Chloroflexota; Dehalococcoidia. The record is from RNAcentral. RNAcentral also lists the same sequence under 1 other name.